UACAGAGAUGGCAACCGUUGUUCGGAAUCACUGGGCUUAAAGAGCACGUAGGCGGAGCGUCAAGUCGGCUGUGAAAGACCACGGCUUACCCGUGGGAGGCCAGCCGAAACUGGCGUUCUGGAGGUCAGUAGGGGAGAGUGGAAUUCCUGGUGGAGCGGUGAAAUGCGUUGAUAUCAGGAGGAACGUCGGAGGCGAAGGCGACUCUCUGGACUGAAGCUGACGCUGAGGUGCGAAAGCCAGGGGAGCAAACGGG
This 253-nucleotide ribosomal RNA is filed under the name uncultured bacterium. RNAcentral's name for it is "partial 16S ribosomal RNA". It matches the Rfam family "Bacterial small subunit ribosomal RNA", at positions 524 to 776 of the family's 1533-position model. The record is from RNAcentral.